GCCUCAAUGGUCUAAAGGCUUAGGACAUUCGCCCGGAAAGCAAAAAGAUCCGGAUUCGAAUCCCGGCUGAGGUA
This 74-nucleotide transfer RNA is filed under the name Trachymyrmex cornetzi. It matches the Rfam family "tRNA". From Rfam's summary of the family: Transfer RNA (tRNA) molecules are approximately 80 nucleotides in length. Their secondary structure includes four short double-helical elements and three loops (D, anti-codon, and T loops). Lineage: Eukaryota; Metazoa; Arthropoda; Insecta; Hymenoptera; Formicidae. The record is from Rfam by way of RNAcentral.